This 1104-nucleotide long non-coding RNA is filed under the name Pan troglodytes (chimpanzee). RNAcentral's name for it is "long non-coding RNA NONPTRT010129". The record is from RNAcentral. Lineage: Eukaryota; Metazoa; Chordata; Mammalia; Primates; Hominidae.
GGGAGGGGCUCUACCGAGACGAAUGGACUUUUCUGAGGCAGGGCCCAGGAGCUGUAAUUCGAGGGGCCUCAGAUCUCCCUGCCACCCACCUGCCAGGGCCUGGUUGAAGAUGGCUGAGCGUAAAACAGAAUGCAAGUCAGCUGGAGCACGUACUACUGGAGGCAGAGCCCCAUAAGAAGGGGCCAAGAACCCGCACCCACCAAAAUCAAGAAGAAAGGCUGAACCCGGAGAGAAAAGGGAGCAACUGAUGUUGCCAUGCAGAUCCCUUGGUUGCUAUGAGAUGGUAACAUCACUCUGCCCCACCAUUGGCCAGUGCCUCCUCAGCUGCGGUGCCUCCCAGGCUGUGUGGUUCUCACGCGGGCCACUGACACAGAGCUGUUACUAUGGUGAACUUUACAAUUUCCUUUGAUUGGUGGAUUUCAGAAAUAGGCCAUCAGCGGAAUUCAUUAUAUUCAGCUAAGUAAAAAUGAAAAAUAAAUACUAUAGCUUUCCCCUCAUCACUAACAUGAAGGAAACGUGACCCUUCAUGACAUAAUAAAUCGCUGUUCGGUAACUUAGGAUCCUUCAGGGGACUGAAGCGGGAUGAUUCUCCUAUGCCAAAUUUGGGUGGGAAAGAUAUUCCCUGUAGCUUUGAGUCGACUCUUCAGAGUUAAGGGCAGUGGGCCAACCAGAGUUGGAACUUCAGAGUUGGGAGGAGGUGUGGGAUGGGGCAUGCAUUGAAAUGUAAACUCUAUUGUCUCUGAAGUGAUGGGUGAUGCUGGGGGCCUGAGUGUGGAGGGCAGUUUUACAUCUCAGGACAAUGUUUUCUCAGAUGCUCUUCCAGAAAGGAAAGCCAGGAGUACUCCUGGCUGGAGGUGGCAUGCCUGAGGUCAGAGUCAAAGUAGGGUUUGUGCUGUCUGAAUCCUUUCUCCCACUCUCCCCAGCCUGGCUCAGCUUCUCAGCUUCUCAGGUGGAUUGGUGAGUCCUGGCCAAUUAUGCUUCAGCUCAUCUCUACUCUCGGCAAAUAGGAAAAGGGAGUGAAGGACUGAGUUUUAACCCUUCUAAUUUCGUAACCUGACUCUCUAUAAGAAAAAGUAGGAGAAAGACUGAAGAACCCGAGAGAAC